UACGUAGGGGGCUAGCGUUGUCCGGAAUCAUUGGGCGUAAAGCGCGCGUAGGCGGCUUGGCAAGUCGGAGGUGAAAGCCUGCAGCUCAACUGCGGUGUGCCUCCGAAACUGCCGAGCUUGAGUGCGGGAGGGGUGAUUGGAACUCCAGGUGUAGCGGUGAAAUGCGUAGAUAUCUGGAGGAACACCAGAGGCGGAGGCGAAUCACUGGACCGCAACUGACGCUGAGGCGCGAAAGCUAGGGGAGCAAACAGG
This 252-nucleotide ribosomal RNA is filed under the name uncultured bacterium. Its description in RNAcentral is "partial 16S ribosomal RNA". It matches the Rfam family "Bacterial small subunit ribosomal RNA", at positions 524 to 776 of the family's 1533-position model. The record is from RNAcentral.